GUAGGUGGCAAGCGUUGUCCGGAAUUAUUGGGCGUAAAGCGCGCGCAGGCGGUCCUUUAAGUCUGAUGUGAAAGCCCACGGCUCAACCGUGGAGGGUCAUUGGAAACUGGGGGACUUGAGUACAGAAGAGGAAAGCGGAAUUCCAAGUGUAGCGGUGAAAUGCGUAGAGAUUUGGAGGAACACCAGUGGCGAAGGCGGCUUUCUGGUCUGUAACUGACGCUGAGGCGCGAAAGCGUGGGGAGCAAACAGGGAUUAGAUACCCUGGUAGUCCACGCCGUAAACGAUGAGUGCUAAGUGUUAGGUGGUUUCCGCCCCCUUAGUGCUGCAGCUAACGCAUUAAGCACUCCGCCUGGGGAGUACGGCCGCAAGGCUG
Molecule: ribosomal RNA, 373 nt
Filed under: uncultured organism
Description: partial 16S ribosomal RNA
Rfam family: Bacterial small subunit ribosomal RNA
Source: RNAcentral